This 253-nucleotide ribosomal RNA is filed under the name uncultured bacterium. RNAcentral describes it as "partial 16S ribosomal RNA". It matches the Rfam family "Bacterial small subunit ribosomal RNA", at positions 524 to 776 of the family's 1533-position model. The record is from RNAcentral.
UACGUAGGGUGCGAGCGUUGUCCGGAAUUAUUGGGCGUAAAGAGCUCGUAGGCGGCUCGUCGCGUCGACCGUGAAAACCGGCAGCUUAACUGUCGGCUUGCGGUUGAUACGGGCGGGCUAGAGUUCGGUAGGGGAGACUGGAAUUCCUGGUGUAGCGGUGAAAUGCGCAGAUAUCAGGAGGAACACCGGUGGCGAAGGCGGGUCUCUGGGCCGAUACUGACGCUGAGGAGCGAAAGCGUGGGGAGCGAACAGG